CUGUUGCAGGCUACACGGGGGGCGGGUUGCGAGUGGCACCGACGUGGCGCCUUCAACUUCCGCGUCGGGACACGGAGGAUGUGAGGCUGGGCCUCCCCCCCCCCGCUUCCCCGACGCGCGCUCCGUUGAGCUGUCGUGCCGAAUCCGCCGUCGAAGUCGCUCGUUUCGUUCGUGAAGUAGUUGUAAACAGGGGGUGGGGGUGCCGCUACUCGUGCGUGCGACACGGAGCUACGGAUGCGUCCAACGGCGGCCGUGGUGGGGAGCGCACCGCGACCCGAACCGGGCACCAUCCCGGUUCGAUCCCCGCUCACCCACGCGCGGCUAUAACGCGCGGCUAUAACACACAUCUAUAACACACGGCUAUAACACACAGCUAUAACGCACGGAUAUAACGCACGGCUAUAACGCGCGGCUAUAACACACGGAUAUAACACACGGCUAUAACACAGCUAUAACACACGGCUAUAACACACAGCUAUAACGCACGGAUAUAACGCACGGAUAUAACGCACGGCUAUAACACACGGCUAUAACACACGGCUAUAACGCACGGGUAUAACACACGACUAUAACACACGGGUAUAACACACUGGUAUAACGCGCGGCUAUAACACACGGCUAUAACGCACGGUAAUCGCGUCUUGUCUGGGCCCUCCGUUCACGAAACACCCGCAAUGCUUGAAGUAUGGAUAAACAACGGCAGAGCUGACACGGCGUGCAGCAGCAGCAGCAGGAGGAGGAACUUCAUCCAGCAGUGGAUUGACAAAGGGCUGAUUGUCAUCAUAAUAAUAACAGCUAACACGGUGACUGGAAGAGGCCCAGUUCAGCCGGGUUGAGCUGUUCUCCUCUUCCGGUAGUGGGUAACAGAUCUGCUCGGGUCUAUGGAGGCCAAUAGAGACGUAGCAAUGAGCUAUCGAGAGAAGGCCCGAGCGGCUCUGAGUAUAGGCGACACGAAGCAAGCGAGAAGAUUCCUCGACAAGGCCCAGCAACUUUACCCCUGCGACGAGGAUCAUGAGCUACUGGCCCGCGUUAACGAGCAUGAAGAAGCCGCAGUGAUGUUGAAGGACGUGGAGAGGAUAUGCAAUGCGUGUAAUUACUAUGAAGUGUUGGAGGUCCAGUCUGCAGCGUCGACAGAGGAGAUCAGACGGGCAUUCAAGUUGCAGUCUUUGAAAGUUCAUCCAGACAAGAACCAUAUGCCAGGAGCUGCGGAUGCUUUCAAAAAACUCAACGCGUCUCACGAGGUGCUCACGGAUCCGGAAAAACGUGGCAGAUACGAUCUUGAGUGGCAUAAGUUCGACUCAAGAUGCAGCGACAGCGACAACGCCGAAAACAGCCGCCCCUUCCAACGCAGCGCGAAUCGCCACACGUGCUCCAGCAACGGCGACGGAGACCGCCACUCAUCCCCACGCAAGCCGUACUACUCAUUUACAAAAAGGGAAUAUGAAGCCAAGACCGACAGGUGUCGAGUGCAGGAGUUUUGUGCCGAUUUCAACUGGAUAUUAGUUGGCCUUAUGGUGGUAAUGGUGGCGAGUAUGAUGUACCAGGUAUCCUUAUACAAGUGGUCUCCGAAACUAAAGAUGCACAUAUUUCGGCUCUGAAGAGGUUGAGAAUCUCCUUCAUGAAUGAUGAGCAAGAUGACGUUCUUGUGGUGUCGACUCUGGUGUUACACUGCCCAUCUGUGGUACCAGCCUUUGCAGUACACACUUGGGUGACUGAAGUCGCCAUGCCAGACUCCUGCUGGACCAUGUUACUUCAUUGGAAUUGCACAAUUUUGCAAUGGACAGGCAAAAUCAUGAAAGCAUGGAAGCAAGCCAAAGUCAUCGUUAUUCUGCAAGCGGGAAAGCCACAGGUUUUCGCUGUCCAUCUAGAGGGCCAAUAUCCCUCUUAUCAUCCAUCCGCAAGCUUGCCAGACUUGCCUCCAUUAUCAAACCCUCCCCAACUGGCUCCCAAACAAGCUGGAUGUCGAACCGGUCAUCAAUGCUGCGAGCAGAUCGUUGCCUUCACCUCCCUCAUGGAAGAUGGUUUUCAGCAUCAACAGCCUCUCUGCUACCUUAGGCCACUUUCCGGUUUGCCUUUAAAGCUGCUAAAAUGUGUGCGCCUGAGUGAAAAUAGCGGCGCUCGGCAUACUGGAAAAAUAUUAUCGCCGACAUCAUUUGCGCAUGAGAGCACCGCCUGGACGAGGUGGUGUAACUUUGUGGGCAUUUAUCCUGGCGCCACACCUAAUCGAUGCGAUGCUCUGCUACCAUACUCUCAAGGUACACGUCGAUGCUAAACACAACCAAAAGAGAAUUGUGAAAAAUUUCCUCUUUCAAGGCUCGGUACUAACGCCGUCACUAACAUAUAUAAGCGAGCCGCCAUGAACAUCAUUUCGUACGUUCAUAUACGUAGGUGACCAUCGCCGCUAGCAAAGGGCACACACCUGAGAACAGCCAAUCUAAUGUUAUUGGAGGUAGAUUUCCCUUUCUGGAGACUCAAACCAAAUCCCUCCUAAACCACCACAAGUGCUUUCCACCUGAACAAUCAUGCAGCAAAUGCCAUCUUUGAUGUGUCCUGUGGUAGCCCAGUGCCCUAUGACUCCACUCCAAGAUAUCUAUGAGUUAUGGAUAGAAGCCUGACUUUAGGCCCCACAUGCAACAGAUCUAUGAAAAGACCAAAUCAAGAAUCGCCCUGCGGCAGAAACUUGCAGGAACGACCUGAUACGUUUCAGGUGAUGAGCUGCGAACUGACGCUCGAUCACUGACCUAUUCUGUGGCAAAAUACUGCCCUCUAAGCCUGUUACAGGAGCUCAUACACAAAGCUGCUAGACAUACGAUUACAUAACGCAAUGCACAUGACAACCGUAACGCUGAAAACGACACCAACCCCCUGGCUUCCAAAUAUCAGCAGAGACAUGCAAAAAGCAAGGGAGUUUAUGUAUCCUUGCCAACAACAACCUACCAAUCAACCAAGACCUCAGCAAUGAACAUCGCUGUUGACUCAAGUCCUGACCCACCCUUCUCGGACCGUGCUGUCACCAUCCUAGAGUCUCAUCCAGAUCCGGAAGAAUGCUGCGGAUAUCAAAAAUAAACACCAUUCGAGAUCAAGACAUUGCAUUUUCUGGCUUUCACAUUCCUCGAAGACUCUGGGGUACCAUCAACUAUAGAACAUCAACAGGCCAUUGCACACAUCUUCAUAAAAACAAAAAGACAAGCCACAGAUUGUGACCAUGCAACCUAAACCAUGGACAAUAUAGUAAACCAUUAUAGUCUGCGCUCCUUCAUUUGAGGAAUAAACUAGAACGAAACUUAAUUUUAUUUUACCAGGCAAGGCACACUUUUUCAGAAGCGCAUUUUGGCCACAUUAUAUUUCAACGAAGUGGCUUAUCAAGUGGAAAUGUAUAGCAGCCAAAUACUCUAAACGCACGUUUCUAAAUCAAAACUACACCCAAUCUCUUCUGAAGCCCUCGUGGCUAGCAGACCCUGACAUUGGCAUUUAGCUUCUGAUCACUUCUAUAUGCAAGAAGAGAAUUGGAAAUCACCGUGCUUCACACUUUAGGGGGUCACUGUGUCAGGUACACAAACGCGAAGGCAUUGACACAUCAAACCUCAAGUUUGCGUUUCACUUCCGUAAAUGGAAACAAACCGGUUUGUUUACCCGCCAUGGGUGCUGUGCCCGUUGCAUGUGCAUCAAGUUACUCUGGCCACACCGUUUGGCUUGGCUGUCGGAGCCCAUGGCAUGGAUAUGAGAGCAGCACACAGUUGGAGAUAGCAGCCCCCACAGUGUCAGGGAGGAGGGGCCCGAGCACCCCCUACCCUUCCCUCACCUUGCUGGAGGCUGCAACAGAGAUACAAUGCAGUUAAUUUACCUGUCCUGGCCUAUUAAACAGUCACCUAGAAUGUGCCAUAUCUCAUUAGCAGAUCUCAGAAACCUGGACAGUGCUUGGGUGUGUGGCCGCCGUGCGUAACGAGUGGUAAAGGCUGUGGAGGUACGUGGUGGGCAAUAGAGGGAAGUUGUGGAGAAAUCCUCCUGUUUCGGUCUUAAAUCGAGGAGAUAAAUGCGAUGUCGUCACUUGUGAGCCAAUCAGGUGUGAAUGUCAGAGGAAGAAACAUCAUUUUAACAUUAUUCUUGGUUCUUUCGGUAAAGUCACGUAAAAGGGAAACAAUAAAAUAAUAAAAAUAUAAAACAAGAAAAUUCUCACGAUGUUUCUACCGCAACACAAGCAAUCAU
Petromyzon marinus (sea lamprey) is the source of this 4206-nucleotide non-coding RNA. Lineage: Eukaryota; Metazoa; Chordata; Hyperoartia; Petromyzontiformes; Petromyzontidae. The record is from RefSeq and is a predicted model, not a curated record.